RNAcentral lists this ribosomal RNA (441 nucleotides) under uncultured bacterium. RNAcentral describes it as "bacterial SSU rRNA". It matches the Rfam family "Bacterial small subunit ribosomal RNA", at positions 28 to 478 of the family's 1533-position model. The record is from RNAcentral.
GAUGAACGCUGGCGGCGUGCUUAACACAUGCAAGUCGAACGGGAUCUCAGGAGCUUGCUCCUGGGUGAGAGUGGCGAACGGGUGAGUAAUGCGUGACCGACCUGCCCCAUACACCGGAAUAGCUCCUGGAAACGGGUGGUAAUGCCGGAUGCUCCGACUCCUCGCAUGGGGUGUCGGGAAAGAUUAUAUCGGUAUGGGAUGGGGUCGCGUCCUAUCAGGUAGUCGGCGGGGUAACGGCCCACCGAGCCUACGACGGGUAGCCGGCCUGAGAGGGCGACCGGCCACAUUGGGACUGAGAUACGGCCCAGACUCCUACGGGAGGCAGCAGUGGGGAAUAUUGCACAAUGGGCGCAAGCCUGAUGCAGCGACGCCGCGUGCGGGAUGACGGCCUUCGGGUUGUAAACCGCUUUUGAUCGGGAGCAAGCCUUCGGGUGAGUGUAC